This 77-nucleotide transfer RNA is filed under the name Clostridia bacterium. RNAcentral describes it as "tRNA-His". It matches the Rfam family "tRNA". Rfam says of the family: Transfer RNA (tRNA) molecules are approximately 80 nucleotides in length. Their secondary structure includes four short double-helical elements and three loops (D, anti-codon, and T loops). Lineage: Bacteria; Bacillati; Bacillota; Clostridia. The record is from RNAcentral.
GUGGGCGUAGCUCAGUUGGUUAGAGUGCCAGGUUGUGGCCCUGGAGGUCGUCGGUUCGAUUCCGAUCGCCCACCCCA